GUCUACGGCCAUACCACCCUGAACACGCCCGAUCUCCUCUGAUUUCGGAAGCUAAGCAGGGUCGGGCCAGUUUAGUACUUGGAUGGGAGAAAGUGACUUUCCCAGAUCACAGGGAUAACCUGUUUCCAAAGUGC
This 134-nucleotide ribosomal RNA is filed under the name Erinaceus europaeus (western European hedgehog). Lineage: Eukaryota; Metazoa; Chordata; Mammalia; Eulipotyphla; Erinaceidae. The record is from RNAcentral.